Canis lupus familiaris (dog) is the source of this 80-nucleotide non-coding RNA. Lineage: Eukaryota; Metazoa; Chordata; Mammalia; Carnivora; Canidae. The record is from Rfam.
AAUCAAUGAUGAAAAUAGCCAAAUCUGAGCAUCAGAAGACCUUCCAGUCUACCCAAUACAUCUUGCUUAAAAAAAAAAAA